UACACACCGCCCGUCACACCAUGGGAGUGGGUUGCACCAGAAGUAGCUAGUCUAACCUUCGGGAGGACGGUUACCACGGGUGUGAUUCAUGACUGGGGUG
RNAcentral lists this ribosomal RNA (100 nucleotides) under uncultured bacterium. RNAcentral's name for it is "partial 16S ribosomal RNA". It matches the Rfam family "Bacterial small subunit ribosomal RNA", at positions 1384 to 1482 of the family's 1533-position model. The record is from RNAcentral.